CCCAUAAUAAAGUUAUUUUUAUUUGGAUGUCCUUUUCCAUGACUUUGUAAUAUUAAUUAUAGUCAUCAUCAGCCCUAAAUAAAUAGUAAACUUGAAGAGCAUAUGGAUGUUUCAAAAGUAAAAGCUAUAGUGUAUGAGUGACAAACUAUGAGGACAGCAUUAUAAUAAACAAUGCAGUCAGUGGCCUAUGCCAACCAUGACAGAGUUCAAUCCCUUGGGUCUAUCAGUCAAACCUCCUGAAGAGAAUUUAAGUCUGGAGAUGUCAUCAGGAUGUCCUGGUCCAUUUGGGCUGCUAUAACAGAAUACCAUAGAUUAGUUGGCUUAUAAAAAACAGAAAUGUAUUUCUCACUGCUUGGAAGACUGGGAAGUCCAAGACCAAGGUGCCAGUAGAUUUGAUGCCUGGUGAUGACCUGAAACUUUGUUCAUAAAUGGGUAUCUUUUGACUGUGUCCUCAUUUGGCAGAACUGGGCUAGCUAAGCUUCAAGGGUCUUUUCUAUAAGGGUACUAAUCUCAUUCAGGAGGGCUCUGUUCUCAUGACUACCUUCCAAAGGCCCUGCCUGCUAAUACUAUCACCUUGAGGACUAGGAUAUGAUCAUAUGCAUUUCGGGGGACACAAAUAUUCAGAACACAACAUGCAGUAAUUUAAAGAGAAGCAAAAUCCUGGCGUCAAGGUUACCUGGUGAAUUGUUUCCAAGUCCUACUAAAUCACAGCUGUAGGAUGGGAGUUCAACUUGGGCCUGGGUAAGCAUCAAACUAAUUGCAGAAACUUAGACUGGCACAAAUUUGGGGGUGCUCUUUGAAAAGUGAAUACUGUUAUCAGGUAAUUCACUUGCAUGGCAUGUUACAGGUUCUGAAAAACCAAUCAAUGAUCAGCUUAAUUUUGUUCAAUCUAGUAUUUGAUUAGUUUUUUUUUACAUGCUGCACCCAUGGCAAAUAUAAGUUCCCAGGCUAGGGGUCAAAUUGGAGCUGCAGUUACCAGCCUACACCACAACCACAGCAACACCAGAUCCAAGCCACAUCUGCAACCUACACCACAGUUCACCUCAAUGCUGGAUCCCUGACCCACUGAGUGGGCCAGAGAUUGAACCCACAUCCUCAGGGAUACUAAUCAGAUUAGUUUCAACUGUGCCACAACAGGAACUCCUGGUAAGAGCAUCUUUUUUUUCAAGAAAUACUAACAACUCACAUAAAUCAAUAUUCUAGGGCAUUUUAUUUAGCAAUUACUAUUUUUAGAAAUUUGGGGAUAAUUUGGUAACAUAUAUAAGAAAAUAUAAUCUUUGGAGUUCUGGCUAUGGCUCAGCAUUGCUGUGGCUGUGGCUGGCAGCUGAAGCUCCGAUUUGAGACCUAGCCUGUGAACCCCCCAUAUGCUGCAAGUGUGGCCCUAAAUUUUAUAUACACACACACACACACAAAAUCUUAAAAUGGACACAGGUCAACUUGAUCUUUCUCAAUAAUUUCUAGACACAUUUUUAUAUUGUUGUCCCUAAUGGUAAAAUGGAUAACCUGAACACUUUUAAUCUAAUGUGGUAUCUAAUUGGCUUAUUCUGCUAGGAGACACAGAUGAAAUAAUACUACUUUUAAAACUACAGGAGUUUCCUGAUGGCUCAAUGGGUUAAGGAUGCUGAUGCAGUUGACACUGCAGUGGCUGAGGUCGCUGCUGUGGUAGUUUGUUCCCUGGCCCAGGAACUUCUGAAUGCUGCAGGGCAUGGCCAAAAAAAAAGUAGAAAUGAAUACAAUUUAAAAAGUAAAAGAGUUUCCCUUGUGGCUCAGUGGAUUACGAACCUGACUAGUAUCCAUAAUGAUGUGGGUUUGAUUCCGGGCCUCGCUCAGUGGGUUAAAAGAUCUAGCAUUGCUGUAAGGUGCGGUGUAGGUUGCAGAUGCAGUUUGGAUCUGGCGUGGCUAUGGUAGAGGCCGGCAGCUGCAGCUCCAAUUUGACUCCUAGCCUGAGAACUUCCAAUAUGCUGCAAGUGCAGCCCUAAAAAGUGGGGGGGGGGGGGAGUUGAAAAAUUUUUCCUCUCCAAUUUCCCAUUAAAAUCAGAAGAUACUUGGAGUUCCCGUUAUGACUCAGGGGGUAAAGGAUCCCAUGUCAUCUAUAUCCCUGGCCUUGCUCAGUGGGUUAAGGACCCAGUGUUGAUGCAAGAUGCAGUGUAUGUCACAGAUGCAGCUCAGAUCUGGUGUUGCUGUGACUGCGGUGUUGGCUGCAGCUUCAGCUCCAAUUUGACCCCGUGGCCCGGGAACUUCUAUAUGCUGCAGGUGUGGCAGAUUAAAAAAAAGGGGGGGGGAUUACAAAAAAAAGAAGAUACUUUUAAUUUUGAAAAGCCUGCUACAAGUUCCUGUCAUGGCACAGUGGAAACAAACCCGACUAGGAACCAUAAGGUUGCAGGUUCGAUCCCUGACCUUGCUCAUGGGUUAAGGAUCUGGUGUUGCAAGGUGCAGCAUAGG
This 2442-nucleotide long non-coding RNA is filed under the name Sus scrofa (pig). Its description in RNAcentral is "lncRNA (ENSSSCG00060016207.1)". The record is from RNAcentral. Lineage: Eukaryota; Metazoa; Chordata; Mammalia; Artiodactyla; Suidae.